RNAcentral lists this ribosomal RNA (482 nucleotides) under uncultured bacterium. RNAcentral's name for it is "bacterial SSU rRNA". It matches the Rfam family "Bacterial small subunit ribosomal RNA", at positions 28 to 507 of the family's 1533-position model. The record is from RNAcentral.
GACGAACGCUGGCGGCGUGCCUAACACAUGCAAGUCGAACGAGAAUCUAUGGAAAGAGGGCUUCGGCCGAUAGAAAUAGAGGACAGUGGCGGACGGGUGAGUAACGCGUGAGCAACCUGCCCUUCGGAGGGGGACAACAGUUGGAAACGACUGCUAAUACCGCAUGACGUCGACCUAUGGCAUCAUAGGACGACCAAAGAUUUAUCGCCGAAGGAUGGGCUCGCGUCUGAUUAGAUAGUUGGUGAGGUAACGGCUCACCAAGUCGACGAUCAGUAGCCGGACUGAGAGGUUGAACGGCCACAUUGGGACUGAGAUACGGCCCAGACUCCUACGGGAGGCAGCAGUGGGGAAUAUUGGGCAAUGGGGGCAACCCUGACCCAGCAACGCCGCGUGAAGGAAGAAGGCUUUCGGGUUGUAAACUUCUUUGACCAGGGACGAAAUAAAUGACGGUACCUGGAAAACAAGCCACGGCUAACUACGUG